RNAcentral lists this non-coding RNA (188 nucleotides) under Kiritimatiellia bacterium. RNAcentral's name for it is "Kiritimatiellae bacterium (wastewater metagenome) 6S RNA". It matches the Rfam family "6S / SsrS RNA". From Rfam's summary of the family: E. coli 6S RNA was the first non coding RNA to be sequenced, but its function was unknown until recently. It consists of 184 nucleotides that fold into an extended hairpin structure with a large single-stranded internal bulge. The 6S RNA specifically associates with RNA polymerase holoenzyme containing the sigma70 specificity factor. The record is from RNAcentral. Lineage: Bacteria; Pseudomonadati; Kiritimatiellota; Kiritimatiellia.
AAUACCCUGCCUUGUUCGUGAUCGGGCCGAAUUCUCUGACCCAACAUUAACCAUCAGGGAGCUCGAAGUCCGGGCGGCGCCCACAUGCCCCUGCUAAACCCGGGGGACUUGGAGACCGAUCGGCGGAGCACCCACCUCGUUAAGCGAGGUUCAGAGAUGAGCGCCCCAACGGCUAUGGCGGGGUAUUU